Molecule: long non-coding RNA, 220 nt
Filed under: Nicotiana benthamiana
Lineage: Eukaryota; Viridiplantae; Streptophyta; Magnoliopsida; Solanales; Solanaceae
Description: long non-coding RNA (NBEN_LNC017658)
Source: RNAcentral
UCCAGGUUCCCAAAGUGAAACCCUAACUCACACACAAGAAAUGAAAAUUUCCAAAAAUCCCCAGAUCCUAGGGUUUUGAAUUAAGCCAGACAGUAGAGAUGAGAAGGAAGGCCACUUGAGAGAGGAUCAGAAGUCUUUUCCAAAGACAUAUACAAACAAACAUACAUGAUAGAAAUAAAACUGAUUCAAGACUUAAAAGUUCUAAAGAAAGAGAUUAUAU